This 62-nucleotide transfer RNA is filed under the name Synthesium tursionis. RNAcentral's name for it is "tRNA-Lys". Lineage: Eukaryota; Metazoa; Platyhelminthes; Trematoda; Plagiorchiida; Brachycladiidae. The record is from RNAcentral.
GGUAGCUUAAUUUGUAAAGCUUUGGAUUCUUACUCCAAGGAUGUCUUUGACUUCUCUCGAAG